RNAcentral lists this ribosomal RNA (775 nucleotides) under uncultured bacterium. RNAcentral's name for it is "bacterial SSU rRNA". It matches the Rfam family "Bacterial small subunit ribosomal RNA", at positions 28 to 776 of the family's 1533-position model. The record is from RNAcentral.
GACGAACGCUGGCGGCGUGCCUAAUACAUGCAAGUCGAACGCUUUGAUUUUCACCGGAGCUUGCUCCACCGAAAAUCAAAGAGCGGCGGACGGGUGAGUAACACGUGGGCAACCUGCCCAACAGAGGGGGAUAACACUUGGAAACAGGUGCUAAUACCGCAUAAUUUGUUUUUCCGCGUGGAAGAAUAAUAAAAGACGCUUCGGUGUCACUGUUGGAUGGGCCCGCGCUGCAUUAGUUAGUUGGUGGGGUAACGGCCUACCAAGACCAUGAUGCAUAGCCGACCUGAGAGGGUGAUCGGCCACACUGGGACUGAGACACGGCCCAGACUCCUACGGGAGGCAGCAGUAGGGAAUCUUCGGCAAUGGACGAAAGUCUGACCGAGCAACGCCGCGUGAGUGAAGAAGGUUUUCGGAUCGUAAAACUCUGUUGUUAGAGAAGAACAAGUGAGAGAGUUACUGUUCUCACCUUGACGGUAUCUAACCAGAAAGCCACGGCUAACUACGUGCCAGCAGCCGCGGUAAUACGUAGGUGGCAAGCGUUGUCCGGAUUUAUUGGGCGUAAAGCGAGCGCAGGCGGUUUCUUAAGUCUGAUGUGAAAGCCCUCGGCUCAACCGAGGAAGGUCAUUGGAAACUGGGGAACUUGAGUGCAGAAGAGGAGAGUGGAAUUCCAUGUGUAGCGGUGAAAUGCGUAGAUAUAUGGAGGAACACCAGUGGCGAAGGCGACUCUCUGGUCUGUAACUGACGCUGAGGCUCGAAAGCGUGGGGAGCAAACAGG